Molecule: non-coding RNA, 125 nt
Organism: Triticum aestivum (bread wheat)
Lineage: Eukaryota; Viridiplantae; Streptophyta; Magnoliopsida; Poales; Poaceae
Source: Rfam
AAACUACUCCCUCCGUCCGGAAUUACUUGUCGCAGAAAUGGAUAAAACUGGAUGUAUCUAGAACUAAAAUACAUCUAGACACAUCCAUUUCUUUGACAAGUAUUUCCGGGCGAAGGGAGUAGCUC